AAACCUGGACACAGCACAGUAUACAGUUCAUAUACAAGUUCAGAUUAUGAUGCACUCCAAUACAAUGAAGACAUGAAGAAAUUCAGGAAGAUGGCACUAGCGACGAGCCAAGAAUAUGAAAGCAGUGGCCAGUACAGUAAUCCGACAAGUGAAUAUGGGCUGUAUCCAUCUGGUUCAAGUAGCGAAGGCCAACGGACAAGGGAAAUGGAAAUGGAUAAGAUGAAGAAAGACAGCAAAGGAUUCAGUGGAAGCAAAGGAUUCAGUGAAAGGUCUUAGUGCCAGAACUCCAUUUCUGUAUAAUCUUUCAACCUAACUCUAUUUUUAACAUGUGAAUGAUUCAGCAAUUGCAUAAAAGGGAUGAUUUACUUGGUUAAUAUACAGUUUUUUUUUCUUAAGAACUCAAUUUCUGUAUAAUCUUUCAACCUAACUCUAUUUUUAACAUGUGAAUGAUUCAGCAAUUGCAUAAAAGGGAUGAUUUACUUGGUUAAUAUACAGUUUUUUUUUCUUUCUUUUUAUAUGAGAAAAGUUCUCCAUUUUGUAUUUAUAAUAUCUUUUACAACAGAGGGAUGAGUUAUACUGU
RNAcentral lists this long non-coding RNA (580 nucleotides) under Nicotiana benthamiana. Its description in RNAcentral is "long non-coding RNA (NBEN_LNC029199)". The record is from RNAcentral. Lineage: Eukaryota; Viridiplantae; Streptophyta; Magnoliopsida; Solanales; Solanaceae.